Molecule: long non-coding RNA, 15886 nt
Filed under: Capsicum annuum
Lineage: Eukaryota; Viridiplantae; Streptophyta; Magnoliopsida; Solanales; Solanaceae
Description: long non-coding RNA (CANN_LNC019005)
Source: RNAcentral
ACUACUUCAGCUCUGACUCUUGCUCUUCCUCUGACUUCAUCGGAUCAUCAUCGGAUCUCCGAUCGUAGCUACCGUUGACCGCUUCGUUACCAUCUUCAUCUUCAUGCUCCAUUAAAGCUAAGUUCUUAACCUCCCUUUUCAUUAUCCUUUUCAUGUUCUUUCUCUACUUUUUCAAUUAUUUAUUUGUAAGAAACAAAAGAACUUUUAGGGACAUUACUGAAAAACAUUACUUGGGCACUUGUUUUUCAAUGAUUCUUUUAAAUUUUUUUGUUCUUUUCAUUUUUUUUCUAAUAUCUUCUACAAACUUUCUAAAAUUGAAACACAAAAUCUAUAAUAUAAAAGAAUGAAUAAUAGAAGUAAUUGAUCUUUACUUUCUUUAUAAUAUAUAUAUAAGUCCAUGAAAUUACAUAUGAGCAUAUAUAUAUAUAACGUUAAAAAAUAUAAACAUUUGAAAGUGAAGUAAGAUUUUUUUUGUUUUAAAUUUUCAAUAGAAAGAAAUUACAAAUAAAUUUUAACGAAAAAUAAAUUAAAUAGUUAUUAGAUCAACCAAAUUUAGAAACAUAUACAAAUAUUAAGAAAAAUGUAAUUUAAAGUUGUUGCUAUGUUUUUUCUUUUCAAUAUAUUGAGCUGACAAAUUAAUAUAGCUUAAACAGACAAAAGUUUACAAAUUAUUUUGCACACACAUAUUCUUUUAUAUAAUUUAAAUCAAUAAAAUUUUAAAAUUCUUUCAAAAGUAUGUUUUGAGAUUGCUCUUUAAAUUAAAUAUGUAAACUUAAAUAAAGUAUCUCUUUCAUUUUGUCUGGGAUAGUAUAAUAUAUCUUUGGGCAAUCUCUUAUCUUUUUUACUGCUUUUUGUUAUUUCUUUCUACUUUUUUAUUCAAUUCAUUAUGUAUAUAUUUAAAUUUUUUAAAAAUAUUUUAUUUUUAUUAAAAAAUAUUUUUUUUAAUACUCAGACCGCACUAAUGGGAUUGCAUUGAUUUUUGUUGUUGUUGUUGUUUGGUGUUCUUUUAAAUUUUAAUAUUUUUUAUAUUAUUGUAUAGAUAUGUACUCAAUUUCUUGUUUCUAUGUUAUUUCAUAUCUUGAAAUUCUCUCUCUCUCUAUAUAUAUAACAAUUAAAAUGAUGUAAUUUUAUGAAAAAAAUAAAAAGUUGAAGUUGUGUUCUGGUUGUUUUCAAAUUUGAAUACAACAUCAAUUAAUGUUUAGAAUCUCGAAGGUCAGACAGUGAAUUUGUUUUCAUAUUCCAUGAUUUAAGACAUACAAGCAUCCAUUUUUUUGGGUAGGAAUACGAGACAUACUUUACUAAAACUUUGAAAAAAAAUGUAAUUUUCACUUUACAAUCAAUCUUUUAAUACUUAGAGUUAUAUAAAUUAAAUCAAUUCAAUUUUUAAUUGAAGUCAAAAUAUUUGUGUUGAUUAAUUGUUAUAUGCACAAGUUGAGCCCCAAUUUCAAUCUUAUUAUACUUAGAGCUGCAUAAAUUGAAGCAGUUCAAUUUUUUGAUUAAAGUCAAACAUUAUGAUAUAUGAUUGACUAGUCAUUACAUCCACAAAUUGAUACUUCAUUCAUUCUUGUAAUACUUAGAGUUAUACAAAUUGAAUCAAUCUAUUUUUUCAAUUGAAGUCAAACACAUUUAUUGAAUUAUAGUUUAAUACACAAAUUGAGUCCCAAUUCAAUCUUAUAAUACUUAGAGUUAUAUAAAUUGAAAUCUUUUAAUUUUUCAUUAAAGUCAAACACCAAAAUUGACUAACUGUUACAUCAAGAAAUUGAGUCUCAGCUCAAUCCUAUAGUACUUAAGAGUUAUAUAAACUAAAGUAAUACAAUCUUUCAUUCAAAGUCAAACAUUAGGAUUGACUAAUGGUACAUCCACAAAUUGAGACACAUUUCAAUUUUUCAAUUCAAGUUAGGUAUUUAUUGACCACUUGUUACAUUCACAAAUAGAGUAUCAGUUCAAUCUUAUAAUACUUAGGGUUACAUAUAAAUUGAAAUAGUUCAAUUUAUUAAUUAAAUUCAAAUAUUAGAAUAGACUAAUUGUUACAUCCACAAACUGAGUCUUUAUAAUAAUUAGAAUUAUAUACAACAACAACAACAACAACACAACAACAACAACAACAACAAACCCAGUGUAUUCCCACCUAGUGGGGUCUGGGGGGUAAGAUGGACGUAGUCCAUACCUCUACCUCUGAUGAAGUAGAAAGGCUGUUUCCGAUAGACCCCGGCUCAAGGCACGAGAUACCACACAAACACAUAGUAAUUAUAUAAACUGAAAUAAUUCAGUUUCUUAGUUAAAGUCAAAUAUUAGGAUUGACUGAUUAUUACACCUAAUAAGGCAUGUUUUCUCUCUGGGUGCAUGAUAGCAGGACUACUAACGUACACCUUCAUUGAAAAUGGCUCCACCACGAAAUGUGACAUCUUCGCCACCAGUACUUGUCACGCUGGCGAGUGCUGUACAACAGCAACUAGGUCCGUUAACAUUUGAAAAUUUUCUUUCUCACUCAUUUCAGGCUAUCAGUAAGGAAAACGAGUUAGAGGCUACGAUGAUGGUGCAUCUAGAUCUAGCAGGGAAGAGAAUCUCAAGGUAAACUGAGGAUUUGCAAUUUCCUCGAUGCCUUAAAUUCUCUGGAGCUGGGGCUUUUUCCCGCACCUCACCUGUGGAUACUAUUGAUGUGAAGGCAGAAUUGAAAAAUGAUCAAGUGGAAUCUAUGAAUUGUAGCUCGCAAAUGGGGAAGACACUUGCUUAUAUGCUCCCAAUGGUGAAAGGAGAUAAGAUAGUGGUGCAAGGAAGAUGAUAUACUGAUUCAGGCUAAUCACUAAAACACCACACUGAUUGGAUAUGUCUUGUGUGAAAUCCAUAUUUCAAAACAAUGGAGAAUUAUAUAAAUUAUGUGUGGAACUUUGUCUCUAAACUCCAGGUACUAUGAUGAUGGCUAUAACAUCUUCAAAUUUGCAACACUAGCUUAUAGGGACGUAGUGAUGUAAUCGGGGCCAUAUACAUACCAAAAUAGACCAUUUAUCUUAAGGAAUUAGACGCUUGACUUUGAAUUUAACCCUGAAUGCUUGAAUAAAAUUCUCUUGUAGGUUAAAUUCCCUAGUCUACCUCUUAAGUUUUGGUCUACUGAUUCAUUGAGUAAACUUGUAAGUGUUGUGGGGAGGCCAAUGUCCACAGACAAUAACACUAUAGUGAUGGAACAUAUUUCAUUUUUGAGGGAAUUAGUUAAGGAAGACAUCGGCCAUACUUUCCAUACACUGGUGGAAUUAAGUACUCCAAUAGGGACUAUACAGCAGGCCAUAACUUCUGUUUGGGUCCCUAAGUUCAGUAGUGACUGCAAUAUUUGGACAUAAGGUUGAAGACUAUCCAUACAAGAAGGAACUGCAGAAAGGAAUUCAAGUUGAUCAACCCCCACAGAAGGAAAGAAGGAGGAAAAAUCAUAGACGUGGAAGAGUAAUCUAGAAAUAAGAAGCCAAAGAAGGUGGAAAACCCAAACCUCAGCAGGUCAAAGAAACACUAGCUUGUCUGACUGAGGAGGAAAAUUGUAAGACUAUCAAGGACCAGAUAGAAGAUCAACCAGGUAGUUGUCAACAUGAGGUAAGAGUAAGAGAGCAUGCAGCCUAGGUAUCUCCUAGUCAAACUGAGAAAGAUAAUGCAGGAAUUGUUCAAAAAAAGGGAAGAAAGUAAUAGGUGAGAAGGUUAACACUAAUGUUGUAGGUAAAAGUUACUUCAAACCCCUAUAAUUCUAUGCUCCUGAAUAUUAGAGGGCUGAAUAACCCCUUUAAGCAGAACGAGAUGAAGCUCUUUCUGAGGAAGAACAAGGUGAAAAUCAUAGGAUUUAUAGAAACUAGAGUAAAGAGCUAGAAUACAUAUAAAAUUAAAACAAAGAUUGCUAGGGAUUGGAAUGCCUACUAUAACCACAGUCAUGCUACAGAUGGGAGGAUUUGGCUAAUAUGACAGAAGCAUAUCCAAGUGCAGGUGUUAAAAAUGAGAGAUUAGUCUAUGCAUUAUAGUGUAGUCAACACCAACACCCAGUUUACCUCUAUAUUGACCACUGUCUAUACCAGUAAUGAGUUGGGAGUGAGGCAAGACCUGUGGAAGGAUAUCAUAAUAUUGGAUGCUCAGAUCCAAGUUGAAUGGCUGGUAUAUAGAUACUUUAACAAUGUAUUCAGCUCAGGAGAUAGAAUUGGUACCCCAAUCACUCAGGUUGAGGUAUGGGAGUUUAAGGACAUGAGCGAGGCCAACCAGCUCACCCCUUUAAAGAGUUUAGGAUGCCACUUCACAUAGUGCAACAAACAUGCAGAGGAUACUAGAGUAUAUUGUAAGAUUGAUUGGGCAUUUGGGAACUACUGGUAGCUACUGACCCAAGGGCAUAUAGAAGCAAAUUACAUGGCACCGAGGGUUUCGGACCAUUCUCCUAUUUUGAUCAAUUGUAAUUCACAAACCCCCAAAGCCUUAUAUCCAAAACCAUUUAAGCUAUACUCUACUGUGAUGAAUCACCCUAACUUCAGGAAGUAGGUACAAGAGGCUUGGUCUAAAGAGGUAUAUAGUGAUCCCAUGCAGGUUGUUUGGGGAAAGUUAAAGGUUGUGAAGGUAGAUAUAAAGGACCUGAACAGUUAUUUAGCAUCAUGCCAAAAAAAUUAGAGGUUGCCAGGUAGAAUUUGGAAGUUGUGCAAGCAAGUAUUGUUGUGCGCCCCCUGCAAUGCACAACUGUUUGAUUAGGAAAAGAUUGUAAUGGCAGAAAUGGAGAAAUAGAGUAUUGUAGAAGAGAAGGUGAUGAUACAAAAAGUAAGGGCCUUAUGGAUACAUAGUGGUGACUUAUAUACUAGGUACUUCUAUGCCCAAUGGAAGAUCAAAUCAAGUAUAUAUGUCAUCACUUCUGUACAUACUGAAGCUGGAGCUCGGCUGACUAAAUGUGUUGAUAUUGAAGCUAAAUUCAUCUCAUUCUUCUCUAAUCUCAUGGGGAAUGAGAGAGAGAUGCAUCUUUGUAUAGAUCCUAAAGUAGACCAAGAGGGUUACUGCUUAUAUAGGGAGCAUUAGAUGCUCCUAAUCCAAUAGUAACAACUGAGGAGGUAAAAGCAACAAUCGAUAUGAUGCCAAAGGAGAAGGCUCCGAGAGUUGAUGGAUUCUCAAUUGAGUUCUUUAGUACAUGCUGGUAUGAGGUACAAUCUAACCUGCUGAAUGUUGUUUUUAAUUUCUUCAAGACUAGUGAGAUGGGUAAAGGUGUUAAUUGCACUGAUGUAACUUUGGUCCCUAAAGUGCCUUCCUCUACACUUAUUAAAGACUAUAGACCUAUAGCUUGUUGUACCACUAUUUACAAGAUAAUCACAAAAGUAAUUACUGGAAGAUUGAAGAGUAUUAUAGGUGAUUUGAUAGGUAAUGCACUGUCUACUUUCAUUGAUGGAAGAUGUAUCACAGAUAACAUUUUAUUUGCUUAUGAACUAUUUAAAGGCUAUAAUAGGAAAUGUAUCUCUCCAAGGUGUGUUAUUAAAUUAGACACUAGGAAAGCUUAUGACUCUUUAGAUUGGGCUUUACUUAAAAGAUUAAUAAUGGAUAUGGGGUUUCUUAAUAAGUUUGUGGGCUGGAUAAUGGCAUGUAUUACCACUAUCUCUUAUUCCUUGACUCUAAAUGGUGGACUGACUAAGCCAUUCCAAGUCAAGAGGGGUAUAAGGUAGGGUGACCCAAUGUCACCAUAUUUGUUUAUGCUUGUAAUGGAAUAGCUAGAUAGGACACUAAAAUAGCUGGCUAGAAAUAAGAGUUUUUAAUUCCAUUCAAGAUGCAAGAAAGUAGGGUAACACAUGUAUGCUUUGCUGAUGAUCUCCUGAUGUUAUGUAAGGCAGAGAUUGGGUCUAUUAGUUUAUUAAACCAGCCAUUCAGUAAAUUCUCUCAAGUUCAAGGUUUGCAGGUGAAUGUUGAUAAGAGUUCCUUAUUCCUGGAUGGUAUUUCUGAGAACCUUAAAAAGGAAAUCUUAGAGAAGACAGGUUAUUGGAGUUUUUCCAUUCAAAUACCUGGGAGUACUUAUUGGUGUGAAGAAAUUAUCCAUUGCUCUAUGUUAGCCCUUGGUGGAGAGGAUUACUGCAAGAAAUACUUAUUGUUCUGCUAUACUCUUAACCUAUGCAUACAUACUCCAAUUAAUCAAGGUUGUGGUUUUUGGAAUGCAAUCAUAUUGGGCACAGGUAUUCUUGAUUCCAAAGACGAUACUGAAAUAUAUUGAGGCUAUAUGCAGAUCCUACUUGUGGACUAGUCAAGCUGAAAUCUCCAAAGAGGAACUUGUCUCUUAGGACAAAGUGUGCCUACCACAGGUUACAGAUGGUCUUAAAUAUAAUCAACUUAAUUCUAUGGAACAAGGCUUUCAUCACAAAGCACCUCUGGGCUCUUGCAAUGAAGAAGAACUUCUUAAGGAUUAAAUGGCUACACAACUUUUAUAUAAAGCAGUAGAACCUUGAACAUAUUUCCCUACCUAAGAAUGUCUCUUGGGUAGUUAGGAAGAUUUUGAACACCAUGAAGUUGGUAACUGAUUUACAACAAUUGCAGGGCCACAUGCUAGAUAGGUUGAAGCAGCUGCAGAAAGGAGAUAAAUUUAGCAUUAAAAAGCUAUACUUAUUGCAGAUACCUCAGCAUCCAAAAGUAACAUGGAAGAAGUUGAUCUUGCAACCUCAUAUGUAGUCUAGUCAUAAAUUUAACUUAUAGAUAGCUUUACAACAAAGAUUGACAACUAUGGACAAACUGAUAAAGAUUGUUAUCCCGGUCCCUAAAACCUGUGUGUUCUGUGGGUCAGCUGAUGAACUAUUUGAUCACUUAUUCUUUGAAUGUGGCAUUAAAAAGGACAUUUGGAGCAGGCUGCUUAGAUGGAUGGGCAAAGAUAGAAGAAUUGGAAGCUGGGAUGCAAAGGUAGACUGGCUGGUGACAGGGUUGAAGCAUACUUCAGGAUUUUGUGAAGUUGUUGUAGUUGUGUUCAACAUGAUGGUCUACUCAUUUGGAGAGCCAGAAACACCCUCAUAUUUCAAAAAGGAACCUAGAAACACCCUCACAUUUCAAAAAGGAACCUACUCUAGUGUUAGAAUCUAUAGAGAAAUGGCAUUGCAUAUAUAUACUAAUGGAAAUUUUGUAACAAAAUGACAUAAACACCAGCAGGCUGUAAAUUCAUAUCCUUGAUGUAUAAAUAGGUAGUAGUUGCUAGAUUAAUUUUAAUCAUGUAUGUAUAUGAGUAGUAUUUAGGAGAUGGAAGGUGAUUGGUCAACAAUCACCAAGGUUUGUAAUGACUAUUUUGGUGAAAUGAAAUACUAUUUACCAAAACAAAAAUUGUUACACCUAUAAAUUAAUUUUUAAUUCAAUUAUCCCAUUGAAGUCAAAUAUUUGUGUUGAUUAAUUAUAUCAUCCACAAAUUGAGUCUUAUUUCAAUCUUAUAAUAUUUAGAAUUACAUAUAAAUUGAAUUAAUUCAUUUUUUCCAAUUAAAGUCAAUAUUUUGAUUGACUAAUUGUUACACCCACAAAUUGAAUCUCAAUUAAAAUUCAAUUGAAGUUAGAUAUUUAUGUUAUUUAAUUGUUACAUCCUCGAGCUGAGUCUCAAUUCAUCUAAUAAUACCUAAAGUUACAUAAAUUGAAGCAAUUUAAUUUUUUUAAAUUAAAGUCAAACAUUAAACUUGACUAAUUUUUAUAUCUAGAAACUAACUCUCAAAUCAAUCUUAUAAUACUUAGAGUUACAUAAACUGAAGUAAUUUAUUUUUUUAAUUAAAGUUAAACACUAGAAUUGACUAAUUGUUACAUUCACAAACCGAGUCUCGAUUCAAUCUUAUAAUACUUAGAGUUAUAUAAAUUAAAACAAUUUAAUUCUUCAGUUAAAGUCAAACAUUAAAACUGACUAAUUAUUACAUCCACAAACUAAAUCUCAAUUCAAUCUUAUAAUACUUAUAAUUAUAUAAAUUUAAGCAAUUUAGAUUUCCGAUUAAAGUAAAACAUUAGAAUUGACUGAUGGUUACAUCCAUAAAUUGAGUAUCAGUUCAAUCUUAUUUUAUUCAUAUUUAUAUAAAUGUAAGUAGUUUAAUUUUUCAUUCAAAGUCAAAUAUUAUGAUUGACUAAUUGUUACAUAAUUGUGUUUCAAUUCAAUUUUAUAAUAUUGAUAAUUAUAUAAAUUGAAGCAAUUCAAUUUACAAUGACAAUCAAACUUUAGAAAUUGACUAAUUAUUCCACAAAUUGAGUUUCAAUUGAAGUCAAAAUUUUGUAUUGAGAAAUUGAAACAAUUCAAUUUUUCAAUUAAUACUAGAUAUUAGAAUUGCUAAUUGUUAUAUCCACAAAUUGAGCAUCAAUUCAUUUUCUUUAUUGAAGAUAAAUUUUUUUGUUGACUAAUUGUUACAUCUAAAAAUUAAUUCUCAAUUCAAUCUUAUAAUACUUAGAGUUAUAUAAAUUAAAGUAAUUUAAUUUUUAAGUAAAAUUAAAAUUAUAAUUGACUACUUGUUACAUACAAAUCGUGUCACAAUUCAAUAUUAUACUCAUAAUUAUAUAAUUUGAAAUAAUUUAAUUUUUUAAUUAAAGUCAACAUAUUUAUAUUGACGAAUUGUUACCUGCACAAAUUGGGUCUCAAUUCAAUCUUAUGUUACUUAAGAGUUAUAUAAGUAGAAGCAAUUCAAGUUUUCAAUUACAAUCAAACAUUUGAAUUGUUUCACCAAAAAAAAAUAUUUGAUUCGACUAACUGUUGCGUCCACAAAUUGAGUCUUAAUACAAAUUUUCAGUUGAAGAUAAAUUUUGUAUAUACUAAUUGUUAUAUCCACAAAUUGAGUCUCAAUUCAAUCAUAUAUAUUUAGAGCUAUAUAAAUUGAAGCAAUUCAAUAUUUUUUAAUUAAAGUCAAAUAUUAGAGUUGACUAAUUGUUCUAUCCAUAAAUUAAGCAUCAAUUCAUUUUUUCAGUUGAAGUCAAAUUUUCAGCUUACUAAUUGUUACAUCCACAAAUUGACUCCUAAUUCAUUCUUAUAAUACUUAGAGUUAUACAAAUUGAAAUAAUUCAAUUUUUCAAUUUAUGCCAAACAUUUAUGUCAAAGUUUGACCCAUGAUUAUCAUAUUCUUAUAUAUGUCUUACCUUUCUAUUUUGUUUUCAAUAAUUUUAUGCAUUCUAUGUUAGUUUUAUAAUUUUUAUUAAUAUUUUAAAUGUCACAUUAUUUGUCCAAAUAAGCACUCGGUUAUUAGUUUUACGGUUAUUUCAUAUGUUGUAUUUUUUUAAAUAUUUUUAUUCAAAAAUUAUAUUUAAUUUAUUUGAUAUUUUAUUUAGAUUUCAUAUAUNNNNNNNNNNAUCUAGGGCGGCCUAGUCUUGGAUCGUGACACCCUUACAACUCCUUAUGAUUCAAUUGUGUGAUAUUUGUGUGAAAAAUAAAAAAGAAAUCUGCUAGCACAAUUAAAAUUUGAGAUAUGUGAUUGAUUAUGUUUGGCCUGAUAAUGCAUUUGUAGUAGAAGUAUUUAGUAGGCACAAACAAGCCAAGUGUAUUUACUUGAUCUAAAAAUUCAUGGCUUGUGUCAAAAUUAUCAUGAUGUACUCAAAGUCUUUUAUAAUGUAGAUGAGAACACAUGUCCUACCCAUUGAAAAAAUUGAUAUUACUAAAUCUACCUUAAAAACUGAGUUUAUUGUGUCGACUUAACCUGCUGAAGAAGAGGAUUGUUUGAGAAAUUUAUUAUUUUGAAUAUCUUAUUUUUGAAACUAACUCCUUCUAUUUUGAUUCAUUGUGAUAACAUCGAAUUUAUUGAUAGAGUAUCAACCAUUAUUGUAAUGGUAAAUUCAGACGAUAAGAGGAAAACACAAUAUUGUAGAUCAUUUUUGUCAAUGGUAUACCAUUAAUAUUAAUUAUGUUAAAUCUUGUUAUAAUCUUGUCGAUUUAGAUCAAGGUCUUGGCAACGUAAAAGGUCUGAAGCACAUCAAAAGAGAUAUGCUUAAACCUAUAAAAAUCCAUGAGUCAGAUAUGAAGAAACCUAACUUGAGAACUAGAUCCAAUAACUAGGUUCAAUGCAAAGAAUGAAUCAUAUGACGAGUUAUUAUUAAAUGCACUAAUGUUUAAUCCCUCCCUAUGAUGUGGGUGCAUUUCUUCCUGUAAUGAUUUGUGAAGUUUGACUUUAAAAAAAAACUCUUAAUGUAUGUAGCUCAUAUAGGUGGGAGUUAAACUUAUAGAGCACUGUUGAUAGAUUUCACUUAUGUAUGUGUAGAAGUAGGUCGCUUCCUAUGAUAACUAGGCUUAUUGUCAAAAACAAAUAAAAAUUAGGAUAACACAAGGUCGUAUUGCUGGCCAUUAAAGCUUGUGUCAAUAUCUUGAUUAUUGUGUGUAAAUAAAGAUACUUUAUUUCCCUUAAGUAGCCAUAAUUCAAGUUUAAGACCACCACUGACUUUGAAGUAAAGAUUACUGUUUUACUGUCACGACUCAAAAAUAAAGCCAUGAUGGAACUUGUUGCGACCCCGCCUGGGCAAGUAAGUCAGCCACCAAAAAGGAAAGAAAAAGCACACAAUUAAUGAAACUAACAAGACGAGACUUGUAGGACAAAGUCAGGACAUCACAAAAUAUAAAUAAAAUGGAAGUCUAAAAAAAUAACAUAAAUCACCCAAAAUUCUAAUGUCAUAAUGUAAGAGUAUCUAAGUACAAUAUUCAAACUAAAAUACAUAAUCUGUCUUUAAUCCAAAAUAAAGACAAGGUAAAAGAUAGGAUGAGAUCUGAGAUUCGGCUUGAACACUAGAAUGAUCCAUACCUUGAAUCUGAUCAAACUCCCUUGAAAUCUCAAUCGCCAUGCAUAGUAAUCAAAUAAGUAUCUGCAUCAAAAGGGCAUAGUAGAAGUGAGUACAAUGAACUUGUACUCAGUAGAAAUCAUAAGCCAACUGAGCAAAGCAGAAAAUAAGAUAAGAAAAAAAAUUAUGAGCACGUCACCUAUAAGAAGAAAAAUCCCAAAUGGUAGCUCACACCAUCUCCACUAACUGUCCUAAUAUAUACACAAACAUAAAAGCAACAAAGUUAUAAACAAAGAAUAUACUAAAACUAAACACAAGCCAAGAGAAACUAAAAAAAUCAUGAAAGAUGAUUAUGCAAUUCAAUAAAAUACAAUGAGUAUGGGAAGAAUGCUGAGAGUUAUCACAUGACUUUCUAUAUACACCUACGAAGCACGCAGAUCCCAAGACAGGACCCAUAGGGGGUACACAAUCCAUAUACUGUAUCUCAUAUCUCAAAUCUCAAUCCACCUCUUCGUCUCGUGUUCACAAAGUGGGGUUUUAUGAAAAUGUCUCAUUUUCUUUCAAAAAUAAUGUCUCAUUUUCUUUCAAAAAUAGUCUUCCUCAAUGGUACCAGUAUCUCAUAAAUGUAUAUGUAUAGAAUGAGGAUGUAAUGCUCAAAAUCAAAUCAAUAUAAAGAUAUCUAGUCCAUCCAACACGCAUGUAAGUGACACAAAAACUUAACUUAGUAUGUACAUAGUUCAUGAUUAUCAACUCUAAUUAGGCACCACUAGAAUAAAUAUGCAUUUAAGACAUCAUUAGUAUCAUAUCAACUCCUAACUUGGGCAUUUAUAUCUUGAUAAAGGAAACCAAUGCUCAAUAUGGCCUAUAAAUAACAAUUCAGGCUACCGUACGAGCAUUAUAUAGGAGCAAAUUCAAUCCUUAUUCCUAGCAAUGAUUCCCAAAAAAGAAAAACCUCGCUAGACUGAGGCCCAUUGCUAUGGGCACUACACUAUAUAAAAGAAUGACUAAGGCAAUUGCCAAUAGUUUCUACUGAAAGACAUGCUGGCUCUUUAAAAAGGGCGCCCUCCUAAUCUCAUUUUGAUAGGAAAAGAUAUUGAUAAUUAUCCCAAGGAGGCUUACUAAGCUAAUAGAUAUCUAGAAUAAAUCUAUUUAAAUGCACAUAUAAGGUCAAUGAUGUCAAAUAAAGGCCCUAUACAGGCAUCACGCAAUAUUAGAUCUCACAAGUUAACAACAAUAGAAUAUAAGCCCUACAUAGGUACAGAUCAGUAAUAAUAUUCUCAAAAUAUAAAUUCCGCAUUUAUUUUUCCCAACCCAUAACAUGCUUUACUUAUUUAUUAACUACCCAACUCAAUAUGAAAGAAGUUAAGACAUAACCUGCCCCGAGAUGAUGAAAUUCAAGCCUAAAGUUCUUCAACACAAAGAUUUCCCUUUUUGAACGGCCUGAGAAUCAAUUACAACAUUCAAAUAUAGCAUCUACACAAUAAUGAAAGUCGAUGAUACCCACAUCGCCUAUAUUUGAGUUGGGUUCAAAAUGGGUUUAAAAAUAAACAGGGUAUUAAUUUUUUUUUUUUCAAAAUAAAUUCUCUAAGGUUAAAGGAAUCUAUAGUUGAAAAACCAUGUAAAAUGAGUUUAAAAUGAGGUCCAAAUUAAAGAAAAACUAUUUUUAAGCUUUACCAGUAAAAAUCUCAAAAUCCCAUUUCAAAAUAAUGAUUAACAAGUAUUUUCGAAGAUUAAUCAAUGGAAACUAAUGGGGAUAUGAGUUUAGAGGUUACCCACAUGAAACACGAUGAAGAAACCCACAAAAAUUAUCUUUUCCAAAGCUUGCGGUUUAAAAAAUAGAUAAAAAUUGCAAAAUUAAGGCUUAAAACUGUUCUGUGAAUAGUGCCUUGCUAACAUGCUAAACCCUUCGCGUUCACGAUGAUCAACUUUGACUAGCCAAAAGUUUGGCCUUCGAGAUAGCCUUGGUGCAUUAAUAAUGAAGGGUAAUUUCCUUCUCUGUGUUCAUGGCCAAGGUCUUGUAUUCGCGAAGAAGACUCCAUGCACCAGAUAUUAGCCAUGCACCAACUCAAUUUUCAUGGUUCUGAAUCCUUCGAAUGGAUCCUUAUAAUUCAUUAGGGAAUUGAUAAAAAUAAAACAUAUAUGCUACCAGGCUAUAUUUGAUGUUCCAAACUCAAUGGUGAUUUUGAAUUUUCUAAAAAAAUAUUUUUUUAAUAAAUUAACCCUUGGGGUCCAUUUUGGCAUUUUUAAAAAUGAAUUGUCAAAAUGCAACCUAAAGGUUUCAAACCCGAACCAGCUCUUCUACUAAUCCAAAUUUGAUAUUUUGGACCUGAUGAAAAUGUCCAACUUGCAUCUGACACUCAGAACAACAAAUGUUGAGCAAAGUCAAUUAUAUGAUUUUUAAAGUCUUUAAAAACCAUAAACUCAAUCAAAUCAUUCCCAAUUGCCUUGUGAAUCGUGCCAACCAUCCCCACAUCCCAAAGUCAACAUAUAGUCACUAUGGAGAAGGGAAAAAUGAUCAAAAUAUAUUAAAAUAAGAUUUCAUAAGUCAGUUCAUUACAUUUAUUUAGUGAAAGUUCAAUGUAGAACACACCUUCAUUAUGAAUAAUAGUCUUCCUUCAAUUAAAUUGAUGAAAUACUCUCUUAUUUUAUUAUUAAAAUAAGUUUAGAAAUGUUGGUAGUUAUACAUGUUUAUAUUAAAUUAAAAUAUUAAGUGUGUAUGUUAGUGGGUAUAAAUUGUGGCAGAAGGUAACCAUUAGUUUUUUAUUACUUCUAUAACAUCUACCUCAUCAUGCCUUGUAACUCAUGUGACAUCUAAGCCACGCAUCUACCCACUUUACCACCCAUAUUCAUCCUGUUCAUUACGAAAAAGAAUUCUAAGAGGUCCUUUAUAUUUAAGUACCUGGAUUUGUUCAUCUUUUUGAAUUAAUCAGGUUAACUGUCUAAUUAGAUUGAAAUCUUAGAUUGAGAAGCAUUAGCUAUUUUAGAAAAAUAUCUCUGAGAACCUUGGGGGUGAUAAACUAACUAAUGUUUAUCAAGAUGUUUGGCUAAGUCAACCUUAAGGAAUAUAUGUUUGUAUACUUGAAGACAAAUGGAAAGAUUUGAUCAGUAUUAACAGAAAAUUUAUUGUUAUAAUAUAUAUAUANNNNNNNNNNNNNNNNNNNNNNNNNNNNNNNNNNNNNNNNNNNNNNNNNNNNNNNNNNUAUAUAUAUAUAAUAUACUGUAAUAGAAGUGUGAGUGAAAAUAGCGGUAUUAGCAUAGUUGUUUCAGUGUGUCUUUUAAAUGAUGUUUGGGGACAAUUUAGUAUUUUAGCACCUUUUGAAGAUGAGUUCUACUCUCUCCUAACAAACACAUGUCCUCCAUGUGCCACCCAUUAUAGUUAUUUAUUUCUUUUCUAAAGGCUACACCCAGUAACCUAGAUGACCAUUCACUUUUAUCCUCCCUAUGUGCCGCCUUUGAUCCGUAUCACCCCCAUCUCUGCUGUAAAUGCUGCCAUAAUAGGAUUUUUGCUCCGAUGAAUCAGUGUGUUGUGUUUAUCUUCCUAAAAUACACAUAGUUUUAUUAUUGCUCUAUAUAAUUGUGUUAGUUUCUUUAUGUUAUUGAUUAUUAAUUAUGCAAACUUUAGUACCUUUUUAUUGUGUUUUACAGAUUGAAUUCUGUGAUAUUUAUCAAAGAUUAAUUUAUUUUGAAAAUAUGUGUUUAUACAGAAUUCAUAUCCAUGGUCACCUACAAUUAGAGAUUUUGGAAUCCUAAUAUUCCAUAGAUUCAUGGCACUUGGACCCAUGGGGCGUGAGUGAAGGUGUGAGUUGAGGUUUCAAAGUUGAAAAGUGAAGUCUGAUUCCCAUGAAGCAACCCAUGAUCGAUGAAUCCAACCCACGACUCGUUAGUUGGAGUCGUGAGUCAAGUACUGAAGCUUUAGGAUUAGUUUUGAUUUUCACGAGUCAAAUCAUGACUCGUGGAUCUAAUCCACGACCCAACCCACGAGUCGUAGGUGCUACAGACCUGUUUCUCUUACACAAUUUAGGAUAUGAUUUAUUUUUCAUCUAUAAACAAUCCUAUACAGUUCUAUGCUUAUGUUACACGCUCUAUAUACUUUCUUUUUACAUUAUUUUGAGUUUUGAGAUACAUUAUUGAUCUUGAAAUCAUUGAUAUUGAUUUUUAAGAUUUUUUAAUCAAUUUGAGAUUUUGGUUUUUCAUUUUAUUCUUGUAAGUUCAACAUUAUGCUUUUAUCUAUGAAAUCUUUAUGUGUGCUUACGAUCAUGAGUAGCUAAAUCCCAUAACUAAGGUUAUGGGUGUCAAAAUGUUUUUUCACGCGAAAGGUCUAAGAAUUUUUUCAUCUAAAGUGACAAUAUUGAUUAGGGAUUAUUUAAUUUAUAGAGACACCACUUGAAAUUGAUUUAUGGUAUUUCAAGUCACCUUAUUAAAUCCCUAGUCAAAAGAAAAUGACUCUUUAUUUUGGUCUACGAAAACAGAAGAUCGAGUAAGGAAUUCUGUUGACUGAGGGAAAGGUAUGAGGCAUCACUCGAGUCCCAUGGUUCUAGCAUGGUUGAUUUUAUCAACUUAUACUUAAGAUAUUUUGGAUAUAUUGCGUUAGUAGGCCUUGAUUCAAUCAUUUUAUAAUGUAGCGAUAAUAUCUAUCUAUUCCUCCUGGUUAGUCUAGUGAAGGUUAAUUUUAGGACAAUCUUUGCCAAGGUACAUUAUUGCAUCUGUGAAUUAUUUUUAAAAGUUUCAGAAAGAUGCGUUCACUGCAUUAUUAAUCAAGACAAAUAUAUUAAACGUGCCUGAAGCUUAUCUAGCGUUAAAGGAAUUGGGUCGUCUCUUGUAAACCCGAGACAAUUUUUGUCUUAUCCAUUUUUACUUUUUACUCUUUUUUUAUUUUGCAACAAGUCUUGAAUUAAUUCACAACUCGCCACACUAUCUUACAAAUAGAUUUUUUUCUCUCUUUUCUUUUAUUAUUUAUGACGAGUUUUAGAUGAGUCCGCAACCUUUCUUACUCAAGCUUACAUUAAUUAAUAAUUAUUUAGAUCUUAAAAUCGAUUUAGACCUACGAUAAAUAUUUUAAUAAUGAAAGGAUUGAACCAACAUUUAUCAUGAUAAACAUAAAUAAGGUAUCAAAUUUUGCAAUACUACAACUUACCCAUAGAAACACAAGAAAAAAGACAAUUAAGCAAAUUCAAAUGGCCAUAUAACAAAUCUCUUAUCUUGGUUUCCC